RNAcentral lists this ribosomal RNA (328 nucleotides) under uncultured eukaryote. RNAcentral describes it as "partial 18S ribosomal RNA". It matches the Rfam family "Eukaryotic small subunit ribosomal RNA", at positions 1470 to 1796 of the family's 1831-position model. The record is from RNAcentral.
CCCUUAGAUGUUCUGGGCCGCACGCGCGCUACACUGAUGCAGUCAACAAGUUUAUUUCCUGAGCUGAAAAGUUUGGGUAAUCUUUUGAAACUGCAUCGUGCUGGGGCUUGACGAUUGCAAUUAUUUGUCACAAACGAGGAAUUCCUAGUAAACGCAAGUCAUCAUCUUGCGUUGAUUACGUCCCUGCCCUUUGUACACACCGCCCGUCGCUACUACUGAUUGGAUGUUUAAGCGAGGUUCUCGAACUGCUAGCGACUUAGCUUCGGUGAGGUCGCAGUGUGGGAAGUGAACCUAGCUUUGGUGUCUAGAGGAAGUAAAAGUCGUAACA